Molecule: unclassified non-coding RNA, 211 nt
Filed under: Hevea brasiliensis (rubber tree)
Lineage: Eukaryota; Viridiplantae; Streptophyta; Magnoliopsida; Malpighiales; Euphorbiaceae
Source: RNAcentral
UGGAGAGAGUGAUUUUCUGUGGCUGGAUGAGCAGGAGGGAGUUGGUGGCAGGAACCUGUCACAGGAUUGCAUAAAAUUAAGUCACCUGAUUCAUUGCGGAAGCAGACUAAGUGCCACAGGCAUCAAGUCAGAGUUUGAGCUUUGCUGGAGGAAAGGUGGAUGAUUGAGUUUAUUCCAGCUUCUUUCAGCAGAGUCAAAGAUGGUCCACUUG